CAGUCGCCACGGGAAUACGAAGGGUGCAAGCGUUACUCGGAAUUACUGGGCGUAAAGCGUGCGUAGGUGGUGGUUUAAGUCCGUUGUGAAAGCCCUGGGCUCAACCUGGGAAUUGCAGUGGAUACUGGGUCACUAGAGUGUGGUAGAGGAUAGUGGAAUUUCCGGUGUAGCAGUGAAAUGCGUAGAGAUCGGAAGGAACAUCUGUGGCGAAGGCGACUAUCUGGGCCAACACUGACACUGAGGCACGAAAGCGUGGGGAGCAAACAGGAUUAGAUACCCGCGUAGUCCCUGUCUCUUAUAA
RNAcentral lists this ribosomal RNA (301 nucleotides) under uncultured bacterium. Its description in RNAcentral is "partial 16S ribosomal RNA". It matches the Rfam family "Bacterial small subunit ribosomal RNA", at positions 509 to 809 of the family's 1533-position model. The record is from RNAcentral.